This 368-nucleotide long non-coding RNA is filed under the name Vigna radiata. RNAcentral describes it as "long non-coding RNA (VRAD_LNC011018)". The record is from RNAcentral. Lineage: Eukaryota; Viridiplantae; Streptophyta; Magnoliopsida; Fabales; Fabaceae.
GUCAAUUUAUAAUAUAUAAAUGAGAUACAAACCUCAUCUUAUAAGCCGAUUUUGUGAGGUGAGUUAGACUUAAAAAUCCACUUUCUAAUAAAAACAGAACCUUCUACAUUCACCCAAGUUUUUUCUAUCUUGCAAUGAUAUUUUCCUUAUCCUCUGGAUUUGAGACUAAUUCCAAUCUUAGUACUAUGAUGGUUGCUGAUUUAAUUAGUUUCUGUACAUAUGGGUGCAAAAUUUCUGGUCAUUACGACAACCCAUAAUGUAGUUCUACUUUAAAACCUUAUAACGGAUCCCAAACAUAAGAGUUCAGAAACGAAUAUAUAUUCUGCUCCUUUUGAACAUAUAGGACGUGAAAUUUACUGAUGCAUCAG